UAUGAGCUUUGUGCUUGUUACUCUCAGCACUGUUGAUUUCUGGGGUGCUGGGUUCCAAAAUCAGCGUUUGGCAGCAUCCUGAUGGGCAGCUGUGGUGGUGCAGCGCUGUGUCACAGGGUGGGUGAAGCUCAGUAAAUCAGGUUUUGAUUUGCAUUGCAAAAAAAAUUAUUGCUUGUCUUCAGACAAUCUCAAUGCUGUUGUGUCAGAAGCAAAUUGGGUUCAAAAAGCUGUCUAUGACCCAAUGCUGGGUUGAUUCCAGAGAACUGAAUUUGCAAAUUCAGAGCUGUGGCACUGUGUUGGACAGCGACGGCAUAGAGGCAUAUGAACCAAAUUUACAUUAGCAAAAGUGAAUGGAAGAAAAUAAAAAUAGAAAACAAUACUUAAAAGAGCCAGAUCAUCUGAAUUAUUUGUCUGAUGAACGAUGAGUCUGUGAACAUGGUGCCAGGCAGAACCAUGCUUACAAACUAACAUAAACUUUUUUUUCCCCUCACCCUGCCUCUGGUUUCUUGAGUACAUCCUGACUGUAACAUUUUGAUGGGCCUGAUACUGAUGUCUGAGCAAAGGAGUUCUUGUAGAGAUCCCCAGACUGCUCUGAGUGUCCUCAAGAGCAACACAGCUAUGUCAGCCCAAAGCACAGUCUGUGUUAGCUAGUGCUGGCAAGUGACAGGUCUUAUUAGUGUGCGUGGGGCACAGUGUUAACGUGUCUAUGCUGCUUUUGUCUCUGGGAGAGCAUCUCAUCGUGGCAUUGCUCUUGGCGAUGUGGAUGCAACAUCUCGUAUGGGUGCUAGUAUAAGAAUGUCUCUGCGUGGGAUAAACACACCCAGAAUAUAGAGCAGACAGGUACCUGCAUCUCAUCCAGAACGAGUCAGUGGCCUCCCCGGUGGUCCCGCAGCAGCCAAGGACAUCCUGGCCAUGGAAAUAGACCUCACCCCAAGAUUCCUGGCACAUAAGUCCCUGGCCCCCGCUGCAUUUACUUUUCAUUACGAAUGGGUGGAGGCAAUGUUGGCUCAGCUAUGUUAAAAAAGUCUUUUCUGUCCCCAACUUUGUGGCAUUUGAUCUUUCCUGUUAUUUUUGAGCUACAGUGCUUCACAAAAGAUGCCAGGCCUGGAGAGGAAAUAUUUGUAGCUGAGCUUCUCAGUGAGGUCCAGUCAAACCUUAAAGGCUCGUACAUCUGCUCUGGCUCCAGCGUUGUUCCCCGAGAUGCUGUGAGGUGGCCCUUGAGACUUCCCCUGCACGCGAGGCAAGGAGGAAAUACAAGCACCAGUACAUCUCCCUAACUGACUGGCAGAAAAAAACCCAAAGAGCUGAUUACUGAGCAGUCCUCCUUCUUUUUCCAUGCUGGACAUGUUUGCACGCUGCAGAGUCCCUCAAACUGCCAUCUCUCUUCAUGCUCACCGGCCUCAGAGUGGAACUGAAGGGGGGGGGAUGAUUCCUUUCCCUGAGGACACUGACAUUAGCAACAAGCAGUCAGUCAUAAAGGAUGCAACCAGAAAACGACAGUGGCACUUCCUAAAUAUCAAAGCAGCUAUUCUAAGACAGAAGCAGAAGUAUGUGUUGACAAUGUUAGAAGAUGAAUGGCUAGAUACAGUCAAUUCCUUUUACAGAAAAGAUUAUUUUUCACAAUUAUUAAUGUAGUAUUUUAAAUUUUUUUAUUUGCUUUUUGCUUUUUUCUUCCUUCCUUUUCCCCCCUUUACUAUGAUACUUGAGAUUGGCUGCCCUGAUUCUUCUAUGCUUUUAUUCUGCUUAUUAAUUUGUUGUCCAAACUUCUUACAGUUCCCUAGGAGAAAAAAGCAUCACCUCGGCAUUGCUAGCUUUUAUUCUUGCUUGUACCACUUGCUUCUUCUGAGCGUCCAUUUAAUACAGGCACUUCUUCGGUAAAUGCCAAUUACUUGUUUCAUUAUAUUUCAAGCUCAAAUAUAUUUGAGACACAUCAUACCUGAAGUUAACUAUCUACCGUCUGAUUCCAUUCAGUGAAGGAAGCAGCCUACGCGUUAACUCAGUUAAGAGCCAGGCACAUCCGCUUCCUGCUUCAUGUAGCCGUGCAUUGGAUUUGAUCGUGUAUUAUUAUUUUGCGUCUAUUUUGGUUUAUGUCAGGAUUACACAGUGAAUGAGUUACUUUAUUUCUUACAUUUCCAGGUUAGAUGUUAAAGUAAACUGCCAUGGUUCUCUCUGUAUGCAGUGAGCACAUCAGCUGCAGUUCUUCGUACUGGGGAUACUAAUUUUUCAAAGAAUUUAUUACCAUCACAAAAUUCUAUGAGUAUAAAAUUGAGAUAUGACUGCAGCGAGAGUAAUCUUAAUGUUUUCUUGGCUAAUGUAAAGACAAGUCUUAAAGGAGGGAAAAAUUUACUUUUGCUUUACAUUUGCAAUCCCCAGGCAACAUUCAGUCAUUUUAAAAUUAUCCUGAGUUGUUUAAACAACGUAGUAGCUUGUGUUCUUCAGAAAUAGCUUUUGACACAUUAUCUUGCUGGUGAAACCUGUGUACUUAAUGAGUCAAAGGGAACCGUUUUCCAAAACCCUCAGAUAUUUUGCAUGGAUAUUCAUCAUUAUCAUUAUCACCAGUCAUCCUAGUGAACACCAGGAAAGCUGCAUAUUAGUCACUGUGAAAGGUGCUAGGUUGAACUAUACAUCACUGCUACCUUCUAAUAGACUUUGAAACAGGAUAGCAUGAUUUACAUUUUUUUGCAUUUUGGAAAAUCAGAUGAAGGCUCUUUUUCAAGUCCACAAGCAUUCACCCUGCCAAAUUAGCAAUGAUUCUUUGCCAGUUCAUUACGGUGGGUACGAGGGAACCUUUAGGUAGGGAACAUGUUGUCCUUGCUUGCACAUGGGAGUCAGCAGUUGGGGUUUGUGAUUACCACCUGCUGAAGCGUUUAGCAGUCCCACCUGGAGGACCUGAUGAGACUGUUUAGCAGUGUUGCAACAGAGUGAAGGAGCUCAGUGGCAGCGCCCAUCCUGCCUGUGCUUCAACAGGCUUCUCUCUAUGCUCCCUAGAUGCUGUAGACCUAGUGCCUGAAAGCUUCCUAAACAUGGUAACUCUGCCAAACCGUGCAGCACUGAGACUGUGAUUCUUCUUUGCGGCUGCUGCAGUAGUUGGCAAUUGGUAUGGUACAGGAGUCAGUGCAAGCAACAAAACAGAAGAUUAUACAGGUCUUUGAGAGGCUGGCCAGACAGAGCCUCCCCUCAGUAAGGUGCUCCCUUAGAGUGAAGGUGUCUAGCUGCUCAUUACAAGUCUUUUCACAUGCUGAUCCCGAUCAGUGGAGAAAUUCCGAGUUAUUUGGGGGGAAAUAGGAGAAAUCUUGAAGUCCCUGAAUCAGAAGGACUAUAAAAACAUAUGGGCAGGCCCAGAAACCCAGUUCCUGGGGUUCCUCACCUUCUUAAGUGGACAGAUUUAAAUGUGUCAUCGCCUCCAGCACAUCAAAUACAAGAAAUUUUCUCCAUGCAAAUAAAGUACUUUAAAGGUUUUUCUAUAUCAGGUCCUAGCAGCGGAGUGGGUCUCAAUUCAAACCUGUCUUUUUCUCCUUCUUGAUGCCAUUAUAUCCAGAUAUUAUCUGAGAGGGAUUUUGUAGUGGUCAUGGAUAAGUUGUUUCAAAUUAAAUUUGGAAGAGUUUGAUGCUCAGAAAA
Molecule: long non-coding RNA, 3618 nt
Organism: Grus americana (Whooping crane)
Lineage: Eukaryota; Metazoa; Chordata; Aves; Gruiformes; Gruidae
Exons: 5
Source: RefSeq, a predicted model, not a curated record